RNAcentral lists this ribosomal RNA (178 nucleotides) under Selenomonadaceae bacterium. RNAcentral's name for it is "partial 23S ribosomal RNA". It matches the Rfam family "Bacterial large subunit ribosomal RNA", at positions 2735 to 2925 of the family's 2925-position model. Lineage: Bacteria; Bacillati; Bacillota; Negativicutes; Selenomonadales; Selenomonadaceae. The record is from RNAcentral.
GCAUAGCUGAGUAGCUGCGUUCGGAAGGGAUAAACGCUGAAAGCAUCUAAGCGUGAAACCUGCCUCAAGAUGAUGUAUCUUUUAAGACUCCUCAAGGAUUAUGAGGUAGAUAGGUCGGGAGUGUAAGCGCCGUGAGGCGUUCAUCUGACCGAUACUAAUAAGUCGUAAGUUUAUCUUC